UUAUGACCUUUACCCUCCAGCCUUGGCUUAAAACCUCAGCUCUAGGACCUGGUUUAAGGAUGGGGAGAUGGAGCUCGGCCCCAGCUCCUCCCCUCCCCUCACCUACCCGCGGGAGCUGGGCCAGGGCUCCUAGGUGGGGACUGGGCCAGUGGGGCCGGCACAAGCAGAGGUGGUGUCACUGAAAGGGCUUCCGGUGGGGUCUUGCUGAGAAGGUAAAGGAUUCCGCGCGCUGCAGCAGGUGGUGGUGGAGGAGCCAAGCGGCCAUAGAGCAAGGGGUAGCAACUUCCAGACCAUAGAGGCGGGCAGCAGCCACGGCCCCAGGUCCAGUUAGCUUCUCACCCACCUCAUCUCAUAGAACCGGGGUGGCCUCGCCAGGCGUGGGGGCACUGCCAGCUAUGUUGGCUCCAGGAAGCCAGCGCAGAGCUCUGAUGGGCUAGGGACCAGAAACCCAGGUGACCCAGAAACCCGGGUGGCCUGGGCCUCUCAAACAGCAGGUGAAGGUCCUGGGGCCCAGUGGCGGCGGCGGUGGCGGUGGCUGCAGCAUCCUCCUCCUUCCACUCUUCCUUUACCCACACGGAUUCCUUUGAUUAUUAUUUUUUCUUUACUAUUUUAUAGGUUUCACAUGGAUGUGUUUGCUCCAUACUUAACAAUAACUCUAGAAGAGAGGAUUAUUCUUAUUUCUAUUUUCGAGACAGGAAAACUGAGCUAUCUCUGGGAGAGUUGUUCCCUCAGCAGAAAGCUGGUGGUGGCUGAUGCCAGUGGAAGGGACCCGAGGAACCAUGUAUGCAUCUGUUGAGGGAAAAGCCAUCGCCCCUUUGCCUUGGGUGAGUAGCAUCUGAGGAUGGCUUCCUCCUGCAUUCUCGACAGCAAUGGAGUUAGUGCACUGUGACACUAGUCCUCUGGGAUGCAAUGACAUACACAUUGAUGGGAAUAUAUAUUAUUACAGUCACUAUGAAGUACAGUUUGGAGGUUCCUCCAAAAGCUAAAAAUAGAGCUACCAUGUGAUCCAGCAAUCAAAAUGUUAGGUAUAUACCCAAAAGAAAGAAAAUCAGCAUACAGAAGAGAUAUUUGCAUUCCCAUGUUUAUUACAGCGCUGUUCACAAUAGCCAAGAUUUGGAAGCAACAGACAGACAGACAAAGAAAAUGUGUUACGUAUGCACAAUGGAGUCCAAUUCAGCCACAGAAAUGAAUGAGAUCCUGUCAUUUGCAACAACAUGAAUGGAAUUGGAGAUGAUUAUGUUAAGUGAAAUAAGCCUGGCACUGAAACACAAACUUUGCAUGUUCUCACUUAGUGGUGAGAGCUACAAAUUAAAACGACUGAAUUCCUGGAGAUAAAGAGUAGAAUGAUGGUUACCAGAGGCUGGGAAGGGUUGGAUGGGGUAGAAGUGGGGAUGGUUUAAUAG
Molecule: long non-coding RNA, 1403 nt
Filed under: Callithrix jacchus (white-tufted-ear marmoset)
Lineage: Eukaryota; Metazoa; Chordata; Mammalia; Primates; Cebidae
Description: lncRNA (ENSCJAG00000067216.2)
Source: RNAcentral